Molecule: ribosomal RNA, 1363 nt
Filed under: unidentified marine bacterioplankton
Lineage: Bacteria
Description: bacterial SSU rRNA
Rfam family: Bacterial small subunit ribosomal RNA
Source: RNAcentral
GAGUUUGAUCAUGGCUCAGGAUGAACGCUAGCGGCAGGCUUAACACAUGCAAGUCGAGGGGUAACAGGAGUAGCUUGCUAUUUGCUGACGACCGGCGCACGGGUGCGUAACGCGUAUAGAAUCUACCUUAUACUGGGGGAUAGCCUUUGGAAACGAAGAUUAAUACCCUAUAGUAUUAUUUUUUGGCAUCAUUAAAUAAUUAAAGUUUCGGCGGUAUAAGAUGACUAUGCGUUCUAUUAGUUAGUUGGUAAGGUAACGGCUUACCAAGACUUCGAUAGAUAGGGGUCCUGAGAGGGAGAUCCCCCACACUGGUACUGAGACACGGACCAGACUCCUACGGGAGGCAGCAGUGAGGAAUAUUGGACAAUGGAGGCAACUCUGAUCCAGCCAUGCCGCGUGUAGGAAGACUGCCCUAUGGGUUGUAAACUACUUUUAUAUGGGAAGAAUAAGAUCUACGUGUAGAUUGAUGACGGUACCAUAAGAAUAAGCACCGGCUAACUCCGUGCCAGCAGCCGCGGUAAUACGGAGGGUGCAAGCGUUAUCCGGAAUCAUUGGGUUUAAAGGGUCCGUAGGCGGGCAUAUAAGUCAGUGGUGAAAGUCUGUGGCUUAACCAUAGAAUUGCCAUUGAUACUGUAUGUCUUGAAUUAUUGUGAAGUGGUUAGAAUAUGUAGUGUAGCGGUGAAAUGCUUAGAGAUUACAUAGAAUACCGAUUGCGAAGGCAGAUCACUAACAAUAUAUUGACGCUGAUGGACGAAAGCGUAGGUAGCGAACAGGAUUAGAUACCCUGGUAGUCUACGCCGUAAACGAUGGAUACUAGUUGUUUGGUUUUCGGACUGAGUGACUAAGCGAAAGUGAUAAGUAUCCCACCUGGGGAGUACGUUCGCAAGAAUGAAACUCAAAGGAAUUGACGGGGGCCCGCACAAGCGGUGGAGCAUGUGGUUUAAUUCGAUGAUACGCGAGGAACCUUACCAGGGCUUAAAUGUAGUCUGACAGCUUUAGAGAUAGAGUUUUCUUCGGACAGAUUACAAGGUGCUGCAUGGUUGUCGUCAGCUCGUGCCGUGAGGUGUCAGGUUAAGUCCUAUAACGAGCGCAACCCCUGUGGUUAGUUGCCAGCGAGUAAUGUCGGGAACUCUAGCCAGACUGCCGGUGCAAACCGUGAGGAAGGUGGGGAUGACGUCAAAUCAUCACGGCCCUUACGUCCUGGGCCACACACGUGCUACAAUGGUAGGGACAGAGAGCAGCCACUUAGCGAUAAGGAGCGAAUCUAUAAACCCUAUCUCAGUUCGGAUUGGAGUCUGCAACUCGACUCCAUGAAGCUGGAAUCGCUAGUAAUCGGAUAUCAGCCAUGAUCCGGUGAAUACGU